RNAcentral lists this ribosomal RNA (369 nucleotides) under uncultured bacterium. RNAcentral's name for it is "bacterial SSU rRNA". It matches the Rfam family "Bacterial small subunit ribosomal RNA", at positions 143 to 507 of the family's 1533-position model. The record is from RNAcentral.
GUAACGUAGACGAAAGCUACGCUAAUACCGCAUACGAUCUAUGGAUGAAAGCGGGGGAUCGCAAGACCUCGCGCGAUUGGAGCGGCCGAUAUCAGAUUAGGUAGUUGGUGAGGUAAAGGCUCACCAAGCCGACGAUCUGUAGCUGGUCUGAGAGGACGACCAGCCACACUGGGACUGAGACACGGCCCAGACUCCUACGGGAGGCAGCAGUGGGGAAUUUUGGACAAUGGGCGCAAGCCUGAUCCAGCAAUGCCGCGUGCAGGAUGAAGGCCUUCGGGUUGUAAACUGCUUUGUACGGAACGAAACGGUGAGCUCUAAUACAGUUUGCUAAUGACGGUACCGUAAGAAUAAGCACCGGCUAACUACGUG